GAUCAUGGCUCAGGACGAACGCUGGCGGCGCGCCUAACACAUGCAAGUCGAACGAGAGAGAGGGAGCUUGCUUCCUCAAUCGAGUGGCGAACGGGUGAGUAACGCGUGAGGAACCUGCCUCAAAGAGGGGGACAACAGUUGGAAACGACUGCUAAUACCGCAUAAGCCCACGACCCGGCAUCGGGUUGAGGGAAAAGGAGCAAUACGCUUUGAGAUGGCCUCGCGUCCGAUUAGCUAGUUGGUG
This 244-nucleotide ribosomal RNA is filed under the name uncultured bacterium. RNAcentral's name for it is "partial 16S ribosomal RNA". It matches the Rfam family "Bacterial small subunit ribosomal RNA", at positions 15 to 254 of the family's 1533-position model. The record is from RNAcentral.